This 243-nucleotide ribosomal RNA is filed under the name uncultured Pasteurellales bacterium. RNAcentral's name for it is "partial 16S ribosomal RNA". It matches the Rfam family "Bacterial small subunit ribosomal RNA", at positions 88 to 334 of the family's 1533-position model. The record is from RNAcentral. Lineage: Bacteria; Pseudomonadati; Pseudomonadota; Gammaproteobacteria; Pasteurellales.
CUGACGAGUGGCGGACGGGUGAGUAAUGCUUGGGAAUCUGGCUUAUGGAGGGGGAUAACUACGGGAAACUGUAGCUAAUACCGCGUAAAAUCUUCGGAUUAAAGGGUGGGACUUUCGGGCCACCUGCCAUAAGAUGAGCCCAAGUGGGAUUAGGUAGUUGGUUAGGUAAAGGCUGACCAAGCCGACGAUCUCUAGCUGGUCUGAGAGGAUGACCAGCCACACUGGAACUGAGACACGGUCCAG